UUUUGGAGAGUUGUCUCAACAUGGCAAUCAUACCACAUCUUUUUUGUUGUUGUAAUAAAUGAAUUUUGUAAAAGAUUUAAUGACUGGAGAAUUUCAGAAAAGGUAUCAAAAGUUCACAUGAAUAAUUUUAGCGCUUAUCUGUAUAUUAUGAACAUUCAUUACUAUAUAAAUAAAGUGUAUUUACUUUCAAUUCCAAGUUUACUAAUCGAUCCAUGGUGGUCAAUUGAUAUAGUAUACAGACCCUCUCCAUUUAAUAAACUCUGUGACCGCCGUGGAUAGUAAACUUGAAAAUGAUAGCAGAUAGAAUUAAAAUACACUUUAUUCGUAGUAUAUGUAUGUUCAAAGUAUACAGAAAAACGCAAACCGGAAGUCUAAUCUGACUUAAAAUUUCGUCCAAUGACGGGACAAUAUCCGGAUGCCUUUUUUCUCGUUUUUCUCCCAACAUAACUCUAUCUGAAUGAUCAUAUAAACGGAUGACAAAUGCGACCAUGCACUGUACUUAUAGGACACAGUGGCUGAUUUAUUUAUUGUGGAAAGAAGAGAAGCGAC
Molecule: long non-coding RNA, 549 nt
Filed under: Mytilus galloprovincialis (Mediterranean mussel)
Lineage: Eukaryota; Metazoa; Mollusca; Bivalvia; Mytilida; Mytilidae
Source: RNAcentral